This 459-nucleotide ribosomal RNA is filed under the name uncultured bacterium. RNAcentral's name for it is "partial 16S ribosomal RNA". It matches the Rfam family "Bacterial small subunit ribosomal RNA", at positions 338 to 795 of the family's 1533-position model. The record is from RNAcentral.
CCUACGGGUGACAGCAGUGAGGAAUAUUGGUCAAUGGACGAGAGUCUGAACCAGCCAAGUCGCGUGAAGGAUGACUGUCCUAUGGGUUGUAAACCUCUUUUAUCUGGGAAUAAAAUGCUCCACUCGUGCGGUUCUGUGUGUACCCUAUGAAUAAGCAUCGGCUAACUCCGUGCCAGCAGCCGCGGUAAUACGGAGGAUCCGAGCGUUAUCCGGAUUCAUUGGGUUUAAAGGGUGCGCAGGCGGGAGUUUAAGCCAGCGGUGAAAUUGCGGGGCUCAACCUCAAAGAGCCGUUGAAACUGGGGGUCUUGAGUGCGGUAGAGGUAGGCGGAAUGCGUGGUGUAGCGGUGAAAUGCAUAGAUAUCGCGAAGAAUACCGAUUGCGAAGGCAGCGAGCCGGGUGGAAACUGACGCUGAGGUAUGAAAGCGUGGGUAGCGAACAGGAUUAGAUACCCCAGUAGUC